RNAcentral lists this ribosomal RNA (429 nucleotides) under Triticum aestivum (bread wheat). RNAcentral's name for it is "partial small subunit ribosomal RNA". Lineage: Eukaryota; Viridiplantae; Streptophyta; Magnoliopsida; Poales; Poaceae. The record is from RNAcentral.
AUGGAGGUCGACGGCGACGGCGAGACCAUGGCCAAGAAGAAGAUCCCGGUCCCGGAUGUUGCCCGGAUGGUCAGCGCCUGGGCGCUCUUCACCGCCGGCGUCUUCCUCGUCUCCUUCGCCCUCGCCUACCACCACCUCCCCUGCGACCUGGUAUGUAAUUGCGUCCAGCCGACGGACAUUACCUGGAUGGUGUCCUGCGCUGCGUCUCAGGCGGCCGCGGCGGCGCUGGCGCUGCUGCUCCCAGGCCGCCACCGCUGCGUCCGCCGUGCCCUCGUCUACCUCGUGCUCACGCUAGCCAUCGUCGUCCACUUUGUCCUUAUGAUGGCUGCCGAGUCCCACAACAUUGUCAUGAUCUACUGGACCAUCUUCUUCAUGGCGGGCGACUACGCCAGCGUCCUGGCCCUCAUGUUGGGAGGUGAGGAAGAUUGA